This 429-nucleotide ribosomal RNA is filed under the name Verrucomicrobiota bacterium. Its description in RNAcentral is "Verrucomicrobia bacterium partial 16S ribosomal RNA". It matches the Rfam family "Bacterial small subunit ribosomal RNA", at positions 355 to 776 of the family's 1533-position model. The record is from RNAcentral. Lineage: Bacteria; Pseudomonadati; Verrucomicrobiota.
UAGGGAAUCUUCCGCAAUGGACGAAAGUCUGACGGAGCAACGCCGCGUGAGUGAAGAAGGAUUUCGGUUCGUAAAACUCUGUUGUUAGGGACGAAAAAAUGUAUAGUAACUAUAUACAAAAGAGACGGUACCUAACCAGAAAGCCACGGCUAACUACGUGCUAGCAGCCGCGGUAAUACGUAGGUGGCAAGUGUUGCCCGGAAUUAUUGGGCGUAAAGCGCGCGCAGGUGGUUUAGAAAGUCUGAUGUGAAAGCCCACGGCUCAACCGUGGAGGGUCAUUGGAAACUAAUAAACUUGAGUGCAGGAGAGAAAAGUGGAAUUCCUAGUGUAGCGGUGAAAUGCGUAGGGAUUAGGAGGAACACCGGUGGCGAAAGCGGCUUUUUGGCCUGCAACUGUCACUGAGGCGCGAAAGCGUGGGGAGCAAACAGG